Molecule: long non-coding RNA, 1770 nt
Organism: Nothobranchius furzeri (turquoise killifish)
Lineage: Eukaryota; Metazoa; Chordata; Actinopteri; Cyprinodontiformes; Nothobranchiidae
Source: Ensembl
UAAUAAUAAUAAUAAUAGUAAUAAUAAUAAUAAUAAUAGUAAUAAUAAUAAUAAUAGUAAUAAUAGUAAUAAUAAAGACACUUUCACACACUGCUAGUGAUGGUGAGCUACUUUGUAGCUACAGCCGCCCUGGGGCGGUCUGACAGAGGUGAGGCUGCCAUUUGGUGCCUUCAACCCCUCUGACCACCACUAACACAGGCAAGCUGGGUGAAGUGUCUUGCCCAAGGACACAACAGCAGAAUACCCCUGGUGGUAGCUGGAAUCAAACCCAUGACUUGUUAUGCUAGGGUUAGGGUUAAACAUCGGACCGCCUCAGGGCGGCUGUGCCUCCACCCCCACCUCAACACCAUCUUCCUGGAAGUUAAUCCUUGCAGCUGUGGCAGAUGGUGCUGGGAAUUUCCACGACCGUGGCCUCAGCAGCGCCUGUAGUUAUGAAUGAUCUGGAGGCCGUGGGCAUUAAGUUGGAUCAGUGUAAUCCAUCCCAGCAUAUGCAACCUCCAAAUCCAGCAGGCAGGAGAAUGUUCCUCCAUUGAUUUCUGUUAGAAAUGCUGUCCAAGAUUAACGCAGGCCCAGAAUUCAUGCCUGAUGCUCGACUUACACGUCGGGACACGGACAUGUCUCAGCAAAAACAACAACACAUCCCGGUCACUAGAUGGAGAGUUGUUAAUUGGGUUUAAGCCACGGAUCCCCGGUUUGACGCUUCUGGACGUCUGAACUGUUCUCCAUAGAGAUUUUUAAAGGAAGAAAGAAAACAAUCUUUUAUUUAGCGCCUCAAGGUAAAAGUCAUCAGGCGCUUCAGAAAAAUAAAAAACAACAAAGGUAUAAAAAGAUUCUAAAUAUGUUUUAAAUGAGAAAAAAUAUAAACUGUGAUUAAAAAUAUAAGGAAAGGUAGAAAGAGCAGAACCGGGAGAGGGAGGUGAUGAAGGUCCCACCAAACCUGAACAGGUGAGUUUAAAGGAGACCACUGAGUCCACUGAUCUGAGGCUCAGGGGGAGAGAGGUCCAGAGUCUGGGGGCCACAGCAGCAGAUGAUCUGUCACCUUUGACCUUUAUUAGGGCUGAACAUUAGGGAAAAUAAUCUAAUUGCGAUUUAAUUCACGAUUAUUUUCUCAAGGGGCUUUUCUCAUAUUUCAACUGACGGAAGCAAAUAAAAAAACCUAUGUAACUGGUGCUGAAUAUAAACACGUUUAUGUAUCUACAUAUUUAUCUACAUGUUUGUUUGUCUACAUAAACACUCACAAGUAAAGACAACAAUUGGUGUUUGAAGGUGUGAUCCUCCAGGAGCACGUCCCUUGAAGGAGAGCAGGUAUUAGCCUCAGCUGUGAACAUUUAUUAGCAGGACAGAAGUGUGUCCCGAUUAUUCAAGUCUUUUGUGUUUAGAGUUGUUGACGUCUUGUCCAUGUAGAUCUUCCGUAGUUCAGUUACGUUCAUAGCUGCUAGCCAAAACUCAGAAGUUAGCCCCUUACAGUUUUCUAGCUUUACUAAAACAUCUGUCUGUACUUAUUUGAUUGAUGGCAGUUUUUACUAUUUAUUAGACUCCAAAUGUAAUAAUUUGGCACGUUCCUAAUUCCUGAUUUGUAAGAAUGUAAUCAGCAAUAUUAGCAUUAGCAUCCCUAUGGGUUUUUCUAUGUAUAUUAGCAUUGUGCUAACCACUCGCUGCCGGUCAAAUCGCAGCCUUUGUGAUUAGAAAAUCUCCUUUUGUCACAUCACAGUUUAAAUGCAUGUGCAGUUAAUUGUUCAGCCCUGGUCUAGAGGGUUGCUGUAAAGACUC